Molecule: ribosomal RNA, 490 nt
Filed under: uncultured bacterium
Lineage: Bacteria
Description: partial 16S ribosomal RNA
Rfam family: Bacterial small subunit ribosomal RNA
Source: RNAcentral
AGUGAACGCUGGCGGUAGGCCUAACACAUGCAAGUCGAACGGCAGCACAGGAGCUCUUGCUCUCUGGGUGGCGAGUGGCGGACGGGUGAGGAAUACAUCGGAAUCUGCCCAGUCGUGGGGGAUAACGUAGGGAAACUUACGCUAAUACCGCAUACGACCUUCUGGUGAAAGAGGGGGAUCGGAAGACCUCUCGCGAUUGGAUGAGCCGAUGUCGGAUUAGCGAGUUGGCGGGGUAAUGGCCCACCAAGGCGACGAUCCGUAGCUGGUCUGAGAGGCUGAUCAGCCACACUGGAACUGAGACACGGUCCAGACUCCUACGGGAGGCAGCAGUGGGGAAUAUUGGACAAUGGGCGCAAGCCUGAUCCAGCCAUACCGCGUGGGUGAAGAAGGCCUUCGGGUUGUAAAGCCCUUUUGUUGGGAAAGAAAUCUUUCAGGCUAAUACCCUGGGAGGAUGACGGUACCCAAAGAAUAAGCACCGGCUAACUUCGUG